ACGGCCAGGACUACAGGGGUAUCUAAUCCCUUUCGCUCCCCUGGCUUUCGUCCAUGAGCGUCAGUAAUGGCCCAGCAGAGCGCCUUCGCCACUGGUGUUCUUCCCGAUAUCUACGCAUUUCACCGCUACACCGGGAAUUCCCUCUGCCCCUACCAUACUCAAGCCUUUCAGUUUCCACUGCCAUGAUGGAGUUAAGCUCCACGCUUUAACAGCAGACUUGAAAAGCCGCCUGCGGACGCUUUACGCCCAAUAAUUCCGGAUAACGCUUGCCACUCCCGUAUUACCGCGGCUGCUAGCACGGAAUUAGCCGUGGCUUAUUCCUCAAGUACCGUCAUAUCUUCUUCCUUGAGAAAAGAGGUUUACAGCCCAGAGGCCUUCGUCCCUCACGCGGCGUUGCUCCGUCAGGCUUUCGCCCAUUGCGG
RNAcentral lists this ribosomal RNA (422 nucleotides) under uncultured bacterium. RNAcentral describes it as "partial 16S ribosomal RNA". The record is from RNAcentral.